AUGUGGUACAAUGAUAGCUCAAUAAACUUCAUUGUAUUUGACAAAUCUCAUUGAAGUCAUGAUUUUAAAGUCAAUGUUUGUGUUUGUGUUUGGCAUCACUUCCAACAUUUCUAUCUUUCUACAAAUGUUUUGUUGCUGAUGUUUAUGAUCUAUCUGUAUGGAUGGCAGCUGCAGCAAGACAAUAAGCCACACCUACUUGACACAGAGCAAUUUCUGAAAUUUGUGAAGUUGGAUGAAGGAACAGUUUGAAUAAAAUGUGUAAAUGAACGGACAUAACAGCAAGCAGAUAAUAGGUGGCAACAUUGCUGAUAUGAGUGGACAAGCAA
Long non-coding RNA from Corticium candelabrum, 326 nucleotides. RefSeq lists it as uncharacterized. Lineage: Eukaryota; Metazoa; Porifera; Homoscleromorpha; Homosclerophorida; Plakinidae. The record is from RefSeq and is a predicted model, not a curated record. The transcript is spliced from 3 exons.